UACGUAGGUGACAAGCGUUGUUCGGAUUUACUGGGCGUAAAGAGCGCGUAGGCGGUCGAUUUAGUCGGGUGUGAAAGCCCCCGGCUCAACUGGGGAGGGUCACUCGAUACUGAUCGACUCGAAGGCGGGAGAGGGCAGCGGAAUUCCCGGUGUAGUGGUGAAAUGCGUAGAUAUCGGGAGGAACACCAGUGGCGAAGGCGGCUGCCUGGCCCGUUCUUGACGCUGAGGCGCGAAAGCUAGGGGAGCAAACGGG
This 253-nucleotide ribosomal RNA is filed under the name uncultured bacterium. RNAcentral describes it as "partial 16S ribosomal RNA". It matches the Rfam family "Bacterial small subunit ribosomal RNA", at positions 524 to 776 of the family's 1533-position model. The record is from RNAcentral.